AGAAUUCUCCUGAAUAAGAACUAGAUGAAAGGGAGUCAAGCAAUUUAUCAGAAAGUUUUGAGUAAUGACUAUAAGGAAACUCAAGAGCAUGAAAAAAGAAAUAGAAACCAUGAAAAAAGAAAUAGAAGCCAUAAAAAAGAACCAGUCAGAUAUAAUGAAUGCAAUGUCUGAAAUAAAUAUACACUGGAAAGAAUAAACAGUAGGCCGGAUGAAGCCAAGGAUUGAAUUACUAAUUUGGAAGACAAGGUAGAGAAAAAAACCAAGGCAGAGCAGUGCAAAGAAAAAAGAAUUUAAAAAAAUGAGGAGAGCUUAAGAAACAUUUUGGACAACAUGGAACAUAAUAACAUCCACAUCAUUGGAGUACCAGA
This is a long non-coding RNA of Phyllostomus discolor (pale spear-nosed bat), 368 nucleotides long. RefSeq lists it as uncharacterized. Lineage: Eukaryota; Metazoa; Chordata; Mammalia; Chiroptera; Phyllostomidae. The record is from RefSeq and is a predicted model, not a curated record. The transcript has 3 exons.